CCUACGGGUGGCAGCAGUGAGGAAUAUUGGUCAAUGGACGAGAGUCUGAACCAGCCAAGUAGCGUGAAGGAUGACUGCCCUAUGGGUUGUAAACUUCUUUUAUAUGGGAAUAAAAUGUUCCACGUGUGUGAUUUUGUAUGUACCAUACGAAUAAGGAUCGGCUAACUCCGGGCCAGCAGCCGCGGUAAUACGGAGGAUCCGAGCGUUAUCCGGAUUUAUUGGGUUUAAAGGGAGCGUAGGUGGAUUGUUAAGUCAGUUGUGAAAGUUUGCGGCUCAACCGUAAAAUUGCAGUUGAUACUGGCAGUCUUGAGUACAGUAGAGGUGGGCGGAAUUCGUGGUGUAGCGGUGAAAUGCUUAGAUAUCACGAAGAACUCCGAUUGCGAAGGCAGUUCACUGGACUGCAACUGACACUGAGGCUCGAAAGUGUGGGUAUCAAACAGGAUUAGAUACCCGUGUAGUC
RNAcentral lists this ribosomal RNA (460 nucleotides) under uncultured bacterium. Its description in RNAcentral is "partial 16S ribosomal RNA". It matches the Rfam family "Bacterial small subunit ribosomal RNA", at positions 338 to 795 of the family's 1533-position model. The record is from RNAcentral.